This is a non-coding RNA of Lupinus angustifolius (narrow-leaved blue lupine), 106 nucleotides long. The record is from Rfam. NCBI's taxonomy places the organism in Eukaryota, Viridiplantae, Streptophyta, Magnoliopsida, Fabales, Fabaceae.
AGGGUUGAUUGCAGCCAAGAAUGACUUGUCCGAAUGCAAACAUUUCAUUACCAACAUAUGAUUGUUCUUAACCAGACAAGUUGUUCUUGGCCACACUUGACUCUCU